CCAAUAGCGUAUAUUAAAGUUGUUGCAGUUAAAAAGCUCGUAGUUGAAUUUUAGGCCUGGCCGGAUGGUCCGUCUUUGGCGAGUACUGUUCUGUCGUCGGGUCUAUCCUUCUGGUGAGCCGGGAUGCCCUUUAUUGGGUGUGUCGGGGAACCAGGACCAUUACCUUGAAAAAAUUAGAGUGUUUAAAGCGGGCAUUUGCUUGAAUAGAUUAGCAUGGAAUAAUAGAAUAGGACGUUGGUUCUAUUUUGUUGGUUUUAGGACCACCGUAAUGAUUAAUAGGGAUAGUUGGGGGCAUUAGUAUUCAAUUGUCAGAGGUGAAAUUCUUGGAUUUAUUGAAGACUAACUAUUGCGAAAGCAUUUGCCAAGGAUGUUUUCAUUAAUCAAGAACGAAAGUUAGGGGAUCGAAGACGAUCAGAUACCGUCGUAGUCUUAACCAUAAACUAUGCCGACUAGGAAUCGGGCGACGUUAUUUCAUGACUCGUUCGGCGCCUUAUG
RNAcentral lists this unclassified non-coding RNA (495 nucleotides) under uncultured Archaeospora. RNAcentral describes it as "SSU rRNA". It matches the Rfam family "Eukaryotic small subunit ribosomal RNA", at positions 591 to 1092 of the family's 1831-position model. The record is from RNAcentral. Lineage: Eukaryota; Fungi; Glomeromycota; Glomeromycetes; Archaeosporales; Archaeosporaceae.